This 259-nucleotide long non-coding RNA is filed under the name Vitis vinifera (wine grape). RNAcentral describes it as "long non-coding RNA (VVIN_LNC000665)". The record is from RNAcentral. Lineage: Eukaryota; Viridiplantae; Streptophyta; Magnoliopsida; Vitales; Vitaceae.
CAUGCAUUUCUCCGUUCUGGAACGCUUCAAAUAAAGAUCCAUUGCUGCUCUUGUUUUUUUUUUUUAAAUAAAUCUUCACAGCCUCACCUUUCUCUCAUUUUUCUCUCGUUUUCUCUCCGCCCAAACAUCCUUUCCCGUGGUUCUCUUCUUUUUUUAUUUAUUUUAUUUCUUUUAUUUCUUUCUUUUUCUUUCCUUCUCUCUCCGUCUCCAUGGAAAGCCACUCACCUGCUCGAACACUUCUACCAACACUAGUAUAAAG